AGGGACUUAGUUUAACGGUAGAACAACGGUCUCCAAAACCGUUAGUGUGGGUUCGAUUCCUACAGUCCCUG
Molecule: transfer RNA, 71 nt
Organism: Eremococcus coleocola ACS-139-V-Col8
Lineage: Bacteria; Bacillati; Bacillota; Bacilli; Lactobacillales; Aerococcaceae
Rfam family: tRNA
About the family: Transfer RNA (tRNA) molecules are approximately 80 nucleotides in length.
Source: Rfam